RNAcentral lists this ribosomal RNA (497 nucleotides) under uncultured bacterium. Its description in RNAcentral is "partial 16S ribosomal RNA". It matches the Rfam family "Bacterial small subunit ribosomal RNA", at positions 28 to 507 of the family's 1533-position model. The record is from RNAcentral.
GAUGAACGCUGGCGGCGUGCCUAAUACAUGCAAGUCGAGCGAACAGACGAGGAGCUUGCUCCUCUGACGUUAGCGGCGGACGGGUGAGUAACACGUGGAUAACCUACCUAUAAGAGUGGGAUAACUUCGGGAAACCGGAGCUAAUACCGGAUAAUAUACUGAACCGCAUGGUUCAAUAGUGAAAGACGGUUUUGCUGUCACUUAUAGAUGGAUCCGCGCCGCAUUAGCUAGUUGGUAAGGUACAGGCUUACCAAGGCAACGAUGCGUAGGCGACGUGAGAGGCGGAUCGGCCACACGGGAACUGAGACACGGUCCAGGCUCCUAUGGGAGGCAGCAGUAGGGAAUGUUCCGCAAUGGGCGGAAGCCUGACGGAGCAAGGCCGCGUGAGUGAUGAAGGUCUUCGGAUCGGAAAACUCUGUUAUUAGGGAAAAACAAAUGUGUAAGUAACUAUGCACGUCUUGACGGUACCGAGUCAGAAAGCCACGGCUAACUACGUG